UACAGCAUGUUGCUGUAGAUCUGCAAAGCAUCAUGGUCUUUUUUCAACGGCGGGUAAAUUCUACAGUAAAAAUAUUUUUCCUGUGAAUCACAAUACAGCAAUUUCUAAAGGAUUUUUUUCUUCAGCCAAGGAAAGCUACGAGAUUCCACACUUUCAUCUGAAUUUUUACUUCAGAAAGGGUUGAUGACGUAUGCGAGUGCGACCUCCGCAGGCUGAAACCAGUCUCUCGAGCUGAAAGAAAACGCAGCUGAGGAGAUAUGAGGAAACUUCCACCUACAGUAAGCAGAUGCUGAGGCCCAGAUUUCCAUGCUAAGCACUCCAAGGCUCAUCAUGCUCGGAGUGUCCAAUCUGAGGGCAAAAAAUGGAUGCUUUCCAUCGAGGGCAGAGUUCUCCUCCAAUUGAGUGACGGUGGUGAUUUCACUUCUGCUCUAGCCUUUUUGCGUCAUACUAUGUAUGAGGCAGCCACUACAUUGGGAUUUAUCCAGAGGGUAGAGUCCAGCCCAGGAAGUCAACUAGUUCAUGUCCAGAUUUAAAAGAAUAAUAUUUCUGAAAAAAAGGUCUUGGAGAAAAACAAUAUUCAGGUUUGAAAUCCUGUUGUAAAUGUAAAUCAUUUAACUUUUAUGCAUUUGUAAUUUACCAGAAAAAUUUUAAUAAAUAUUGAUUGUUUUGUGUGUUCAGAAAAAAGUGUUUUUGUAUGUUCAGAAAAGUGUUGAAAUUAAAUGAAACAUUCACAGAAAAAUGUUAACAUAUUUAAAAAAAUGUAUAUGUUCAGAAAAGUUGAGAUGUUCACAGAAAAAAUGUAACACAAAAAAUGUAUGCUAUGCUAUUUUUAAUUUAUGAAUUUUUGUAAUUUAAAGUGAUAAAAUAAAUGGCAUUUUUGUGACAAACAGUGUCUUCAUUUUACAGUACACAAAAUAAAUGCAGUAAUCCCUAUUACAGUAGUAGUUAUGAAAUACAGUACUGUGAUUAUUACUUUAAAAGAGUUUACAGUAAUUUUAAUUUUACUGCAAUUACAUUUACAGUAAGAAUACUGUGAAAUGAAAUACAGCAACUUACUAGCUAAUUGCUGCCAGCAAGUUACUGUAUUUUUCACAGGAUUCUUUUUACAGUG
Misgurnus anguillicaudatus (oriental weatherfish) is the source of this 1111-nucleotide non-coding RNA. The record is from RefSeq and is a predicted model, not a curated record. Lineage: Eukaryota; Metazoa; Chordata; Actinopteri; Cypriniformes; Cobitidae.